ACUCCUACGGGAGGCAGCAGCGGGGAAUAUUGCACAAUGGGGGAAACCCUGAUGCAGCCAUGCCGCGUGUGUGAAGAAGGCCUUCGGGUUGUAAAGCACUUUCAGCGAGGAGGAAAGGUUGGUAGCUAAUAACUGCCAGCUGUGACGUUACUCGCAGAAGAAGCACCGGCUAACUCCGUGCCAGCAGCCGCGGUAAU
Molecule: ribosomal RNA, 197 nt
Filed under: uncultured bacterium
Lineage: Bacteria
Description: partial 16S ribosomal RNA
Rfam family: Bacterial small subunit ribosomal RNA
Source: RNAcentral